GGUUAAGCGACUAAGCGUACACGGUGGAUGCCCUGGCAGUCAGAGGCGAUGAAGGACGUGCUAAUCUGCGAUAAGCGUCGGUAAGGUGAUAUGAACCGUUAUAACCGGCGAUUUCCGAAUGGGGAAACCCAGUGUGAUUCGUCACACUAUCAUUAACUGAAUCCAUAGGUUAAUGAGGCGAACCGGGGGAACUGAAACAUCUAAGUACCCCGAGGAAAAGAAAUCAACCGAGAUUCCCCCAGUAGCGGCGAGCGAACGGGGAGCAGCCCAGAGCCUGAAUCAGUGUGUG
RNAcentral lists this ribosomal RNA (289 nucleotides) under Escherichia coli. Its description in RNAcentral is "partial 23S ribosomal RNA". It matches the Rfam family "Bacterial large subunit ribosomal RNA", at positions 1 to 290 of the family's 2925-position model. The record is from RNAcentral. Lineage: Bacteria; Pseudomonadati; Pseudomonadota; Gammaproteobacteria; Enterobacterales; Enterobacteriaceae.